GCUAAUACCGCAUAACGUCGCAAGACCAAAGAGGGGGACCUUAGGGCCUCUUGCCAUCGGCCCAGAUGGGAUUAGCUAGUAGGUGGGGUAACGGCUCACCUAGGCGACGGAUCCCUAGCUGGUCUGAGAGGAUGACCAGCCACACUGGAACUGAGACACGGUCCAGACUCCUACGGGAGGCAGCAGUGGGGAAUAUUGCACAAUGGGCGCAAGCCUGAUGCAGCCAUGCCGCGUGUAUGAAGAAGGCCUUCGGGUUGUAAAGUACUUUCAGCGGGGAGGAAGGGAGUAAAGUUAAUACCUUUGCUCAUUGACGUUACCCGCAGAAGAAGCACCGGCUAACUCCGUGCCAGCAGCUUCGCGGUAAUACGGAGGGUGCAAGCGUUAAUCGGAAUUACUGGGCGUAAAGCGCACGCAGGCGGUUUGUUAAGUCAGAUGUGAAAUCCCCGGGCUCAACCUGGGAACUGCAUCUGAUACUGGCAAGCUUGAGUCUCGUAGAGGGGGGUAGAAUUCCAGGUGUAGCGGUGAAAUGCGUAGACUGGAGGAAUACCGGUGGCGAAGGCGGCCCCCUGGACGAAGACUGACGCUCAGGUGCGAAAGCGUGGGGAGCAAACAGGAUUAGAUACCCUGGUAGUCCACGCCGUAAACGAUGUCGACUUGGAGGUUGUGCCCUUGAGGCGUGGCUUCCGGAGCUAACGCGUUAAGUCGACCGCCUGGGGAGUACGGCCGCAAGGUUAAAACUCAAAUGAAUUGACGGGGGCCCGCACAAGCGGUGGAGCAUGUGGUUUAAUUCGAUGCAACGCGAAGAACCUUACCUGGUCUUGACAUCCACGGAAGUUUUCAGAGAUGAGAAUGUGCCUUCGGGAACCGUGAGACAGGUGCUGCAUGGCUGUCGUCAGCUCGUGUUGUGAAAUGUUGGGUUAAGUCCCGCAACGCGCAACCCUUAUCCUUUGUUGCCAGCGGUCCGGCCGGGAACUCAAAGGAGACUGCCAGUGAUAAACUGGAGGAAGGUGGGGAUGACGUCAAGUCAUCAUGGCCCUUACGACCAGGGCUACAAACACGUGCUACAAUGGCGCAUACAAAGAGAAGCGACCUCGCGAGAGCAAGC
This 1105-nucleotide ribosomal RNA is filed under the name Escherichia coli. RNAcentral describes it as "bacterial SSU rRNA". It matches the Rfam family "Bacterial small subunit ribosomal RNA", at positions 162 to 1268 of the family's 1533-position model. RNAcentral also lists the same sequence under 1 other name. Lineage: Bacteria; Pseudomonadati; Pseudomonadota; Gammaproteobacteria; Enterobacterales; Enterobacteriaceae. The record is from RNAcentral.